GGUUGUGGUUCAGUGGUAAAGCGCUUGCCUCGCACACAAGAGACACUGCGUUCAAUCCUCAGUACCA
RNAcentral lists this transfer RNA (67 nucleotides) under Marmota monax (woodchuck). Its description in RNAcentral is "tRNA.Ala". Lineage: Eukaryota; Metazoa; Chordata; Mammalia; Rodentia; Sciuridae. The record is from RNAcentral.